GAUGAACGCUAGCGGCAGGCUUAAUACAUGCAAGUCGAGGGGCAUCAAGGUACACGAAAGUGUAUUGUUGGCGACCGGCGGACGGGUGAGUAAUAGGUAGGUAACCUACCUCAUACUGAGGCAUAGCUGGGAGAAAUUCCAGGUAAUUCCUCAUGAGGUUAUAUGACACAUGUGAUAUAAUCAAAGGUAUCGCAAGGUACUGGUAUGAGAUGGGCUUACUGACCAUUAGCUAGUUGGUGAGAUAAGAGCUCACCAAGGCGAAGAUGGUUAGGGGUUUUGAGAGAGAGAUCCCCCACAUUGGAACUGAGAUACGGUCCAGACUCCUACGGGAGGCAGCAGUAGGGAACCUAUUGGGCAAUGGGCGGAAGCCUGACCCAGCCAUGCCGCGUGAAGGAAGACGGCCUUAUGGGUUGUAAACUUCUUUACUAUGCGACUAACUAGAUUUACGAGAUAAUUCUAUAGAAUGUAGCAUAGCAAAAGCACCGG
RNAcentral lists this ribosomal RNA (486 nucleotides) under uncultured bacterium. Its description in RNAcentral is "bacterial SSU rRNA". It matches the Rfam family "Bacterial small subunit ribosomal RNA", at positions 28 to 496 of the family's 1533-position model. The record is from RNAcentral.